Long non-coding RNA from Aquila chrysaetos chrysaetos, 765 nucleotides. RefSeq lists it as uncharacterized. The record is from RefSeq and is a predicted model, not a curated record. Lineage: Eukaryota; Metazoa; Chordata; Aves; Accipitriformes; Accipitridae. The transcript has 3 exons.
GCUGUGGGAAGAUCCCGCCUGUGCUCCCCUCCUGGGUCCUGAUCCUCUCAGGUCCAGCACAAACCCACCUACCGAAGCGAGUCUGGGGUAGCAGAGAUGCUGAAGGCUUUCAUGAGGACAGAUGAACGUAAAAGGAAUUCUCUCGCUUGGACACAUAGAGGAGAGCAGAAACAGAUCAGUUCCAGCCACCAGUAAUGUUUUCUGUUCCCAGACUUCAUUUCAGCAUCGGUACGCCUGCUUUUGAACUCUCCAGAGGCCCGGGUACGUGCCGACAGCCCGAAAGCCCGUACUGAUGCCGGUGCUACGGGUCAGCGCUGAGCGGGAGCCCGCGGCUGCAGGGAGCUCAGCACCGAGCAGCUGCCUCCGCGCUUGCAUUUCGGACAGGCUUUGCGACCGGACUCUAAUGCCAGAGCCACUUGCCACCCAACUUACUCACUACUCAGGGCAUAUAAAAGCUUUCACGGUGAAAACUUUCACUUUUUGCAGUAUAAAAGCUGUGGCUCUGGGUGUCUGCAGGGGAGGUGGGAUACCUGCUGGGAUUUCCCUAGCUGGGCUGGAAAAUCUGUGUCCGCGCUUCGGAAGCGCGGAUGCCCGUCACUUCUGUCGAGGAACUUUGCUGCGGGUUUAGGGGUACGGCUUUGGGCUCACGCGGCAGAGCGUUUUGGCUGCGGCGCUGGCUGCCCCGUCGGACCGGCUGCAGCCGACGGACCCUCCCCGUGCGCCUUCGAGGUCUUGGGCGAGGGGUAGCGAAGGAAAACGUGUCCA